UUCAAAGGUCGAACAGACUUAUAACUUCCAGCCCCUACACCGAAAAUAAACCUUAAUCCAACAUCGAGGUCGCAAACCCCCCUGCCGAUAAGAACUCUCAAGGGGGAUAACGCUGUUAUCCCUAAGGUAAUUUAAUCUUACAAUCAAAAUAAAUGGAUCAAAUAAAUAUAAAUAAAUAUAACAACACAAAGGAGGGGUUAAAUAAAUCCCUCCCAUCACCCCAACGAAACAUACUAAACGGCCCAGCGAACCCUCACAAACAGAAAAGAACCGUAAUAAAUGUUAAACUCUAUAGGGUCUUCUCGUCCCAUAAAAACAUCUAAGAAUUUUAACCCAAAGACCAAAUUCAAUAAACAAUUCAAAAUUAAGACAGCCCAUGCCUCGUCAAGCCAUUCAUACCAGAUCACAAUUAAAGAACUAAUGACUAUGCUACCUUUGCACGGUCAAAAUACCGCGGCCCUUCAACACCAAAGUCAGCGGGCAGGCCAUACUUCAAAAACUAA
This 503-nucleotide ribosomal RNA is filed under the name Reticulitermes lucifugus corsicus. RNAcentral's name for it is "partial large subunit ribosomal RNA". The record is from RNAcentral. Lineage: Eukaryota; Metazoa; Arthropoda; Insecta; Blattodea; Rhinotermitidae.